GAAGGGGGCUAGCGUUGCUCGGAAUCACUGGGCGUAAAGGGUGCGUAGGCGGGUCUUUAAGUCAGGGGUGAAAUCCUGGAGCUCAACUCCAGAACUGCCUUUGAUACUGAAGAUCUUGAGUUCGGGAGAGGUGAGUGGAACUGCGAGUGUAGAGGUGAAAUUCGUAGAUAUUCGCAAGAACACCAGUGGCGAAGGCGGCUCACUGGCCCGAUACUGACGCUGAGGCACGAAAGCGUGGGGGAGCAAACAGGAUUAGAUACCCUGGUAGUCCACGCCGUAAACGAUGAAUGCCCAGCCGUUAGUGGGUUUACUCACUAGUGGCGCAGCUAACGCUUUAAGCACUCCGCCUGGGAGUACGGUCGCAAGAUUA
Molecule: ribosomal RNA, 370 nt
Filed under: uncultured organism
Description: partial 16S ribosomal RNA
Rfam family: Bacterial small subunit ribosomal RNA
Source: RNAcentral